UUCCUGGUGGUCCAGUGGUUAAGACUUGGCACUUUCACUGCCAUGACCAGGGUUCAAUCUCUGAUUGGAGA
RNAcentral lists this transfer RNA (71 nucleotides) under Ovis aries (sheep). It matches the Rfam family "tRNA". Rfam says of the family: Transfer RNA (tRNA) molecules are approximately 80 nucleotides in length. Their secondary structure includes four short double-helical elements and three loops (D, anti-codon, and T loops). Further hydrogen bonds mediate the characteristic L-shaped molecular structure. tRNAs have two regions of fundamental functional importance: the anti-codon, which is responsible for specific mRNA codon recognition, and the 3' end, to which the tRNAs corresponding amino acid is attached (by aminoacyl-tRNA synthetases). tRNAs cope with the degeneracy of the genetic code in two manners: having more than one tRNA (with a specific anti-codon) for a particular amino acid; and 'wobble' base-pairing, i.e. permitting non-standard base-pairing at the 3rd anti-codon position. Lineage: Eukaryota; Metazoa; Chordata; Mammalia; Artiodactyla; Bovidae. The record is from Rfam by way of RNAcentral.